UUGGAGGGCAAGUCUGGUGCCAGCAGCCGCGGUAAUUCCAGCUCCAAUAGCGUAUAUUAAAGUUGUUGCAGUUAAAAAGCUCGUAGUUGAAUUUCGGGAUCAAUAUAACGGUCAUGCCGUUGGUAUGCACUGUUAUAAUUGAUUUCUCACCUUCUAAAGAACCGUAAUGCCAUUAAUUUGGUGUCACGGGGAAUUAGGACUGUUACCUUGAAAAAAUUAGAGUGUUUAAAGCAGGCUCACGCUUGAAUACAUUAGCAUGGAAUAAUGAAAUAGGACAUCCGAUUCUAUUUUGUUGGUUUCUAGGAUCGAUGUAAUGAUUAAUAGGGAUAGUUGGGGGCAUUAGUAUUCAAUUGUCAGAGGUGAAAUUCUUGGAUUUAUUGAAGACUAACUACUGCGAAAGCAUUUGCCAAGGAUGUUUUCAUUAAUCAAGAACGAAAGUUAGGGGAUCGAAGACGAUCAGAUACCGUCGUAGUCUUAACCAUAAACUAUGCCGACUAGGGAUCGGAUGAUGUUAAUUUUUUAAUGACUCAUUCGGCGCCUUACGGGAAAC
RNAcentral lists this ribosomal RNA (550 nucleotides) under Retama raetam. RNAcentral's name for it is "SSU rRNA". It matches the Rfam family "Eukaryotic small subunit ribosomal RNA", at positions 548 to 1098 of the family's 1831-position model. Lineage: Eukaryota; Viridiplantae; Streptophyta; Magnoliopsida; Fabales; Fabaceae. The record is from RNAcentral.